This is a long non-coding RNA of Zonotrichia leucophrys gambelii, 486 nucleotides long. RefSeq lists it as uncharacterized. The record is from RefSeq and is a predicted model, not a curated record. The transcript is spliced from 2 exons. NCBI's taxonomy places the organism in Eukaryota, Metazoa, Chordata, Aves, Passeriformes, Passerellidae.
GUGACCGGCCGUGCAUCCCGACCGUGCAUCCCGGCCCCGCACCCGGCCCCGCAGCUCCCCGACACCGCCGGCCCCAGCGCUGGCCCUGGGGAAACUCCUUCUGCUCACACCGCCGGCGGGGCUGCCCCCGCCCCGAGCCGGUGCGCCGCAGCGCCGGGGCUACCUGGCACCCUGCAGCUCGGGCCGGCCGCCGUGUGGGGAUGAGGGAGACCCGCGCACAGGGCCCUGCUGUGUGAGCCACGUAAUGUACGUAAUAACCUGUCCAUCUCCGAGGGCACCGUAACUAACAGUGUGACCCACGAGCAAAACCCGACGCGCUUUCGAGUGACAUAACCAGCGGGGAAAAAAAAAAAAAACCACCCAAAAAAACCACCCAAAACCAAAAACCACAGGAAAAGGCACCAAACUGGGUGUCUGUCUGUCACCAGGUUUGGGAUAAGUCUGGGCUGCAAACACAGCCGAAAUGGAAGCUCAGCCUGCCUGGCA